UAAGCAUAUCAAUAAGCGGAGGAAAAGAAACUAACAAGGAUUCCCCUAGUAGCGGCGAGCGAAGCGGGAAAAGCUCAAAUUUGUAAUCUGGCGUCUACGACGUCCGAGUUGUAAUCUCGAGAAGUGUUUUCCGUGAUAGACCGCAUACAAGUCUCUUGGAACAGAGCGUCAUAGUGGUGAGAACCCAGUACACGAUGCGGAUGCCUAUUACUUUGUGAUACACUUUCGAAGAGUCGAGUUGUUUGGGAAUGCAGCUCAAAUUGGGUGGUAAAUUCCAUCUAAAGCUAAAUAUUGGCGAGAGACCGAUAGCGAACAAGUACCGUGAGGGAAAGAUGAAAAGCACUUUGGAAAGAGAGUUAACAGUACGUGAAAUUGUUGGAAGGGAAACACAUGCAGCCAGACUUGCUAUUCGGGGCAACUCGAUUGGCAGGCCCGCAUCAGUUUUUCGGGGCGGAAAAGCAUAGAGAGAAGGUAGCAAUUUCGGUUGUGUUAUAGCUCUUUAUUGGAUUCGCCCUGGGGGACUGAGGAACGCAGCGUGCUUUUAGCAUAAGCUUCGGCUUAUCCACGCUUAGGAUGCGGGUGUAAUGGCUGUAUAUGACCCGUCUUGAAACACGGACCAAGGAGUCUAACAUGCUUGCGAGUAUUUGGGUGUCAAACCCGGAUGCGCAAUGAAAGUGAAUGGAGGUGGGAAGCGCAAGCUGCACCAUCGACCGAUCUGGAUCUUUUGAGAUGGAUUUGAGUAAGAGCAAGUAUGUUGGGACCCGAAAGAUGGUGAACUAUGCCUGAAUAGGGCGAAGCCAGAGGAAACUCUGGUGGAGGCUCGUAGCGGUUCUGACGUGCAAAUCGAUCGUCAAAUUUGGGUAUAGGGGCGAAAGACUAAUCGAACCAUCUAGUAGCUGGUUCCUGCCGA
RNAcentral lists this ribosomal RNA (910 nucleotides) under Sporobolomyces roseus. RNAcentral describes it as "partial large subunit ribosomal RNA". It matches the Rfam family "Eukaryotic large subunit ribosomal RNA", at positions 35 to 964 of the family's 3401-position model. Lineage: Eukaryota; Fungi; Basidiomycota; Microbotryomycetes; Sporidiobolales; Sporidiobolaceae. The record is from RNAcentral.